CCGCUCUUAGAGUUUGAUCCUGGCUCAGGAUGAACGCUGGCGGCGUGCUUAACACAUGCAAGUCGAACGAUGAAGCCCAGCUUGCUGGGUGGAUUAGUGGCGAACGGGUGAGUAACACGUGAGUAACCUGCCCUUAACUCUGGGAUAAGCCUGGGAAACUGGGUCUAAUACCGGAUAGGAGCGCCUACCGCAUGGUGGGUGUUGGAAAGAUUUAUCGGUUUUGGAUGGACUCGCGGCCUAUCAGCUUGUUGGUGAGGUAAUGGCUCACCAAGGCGACGACGGGUAGCCGGCCUGAGAGGGUGACCGGCCACACUGGGACUGAGACACGGCCCAGACUCCUACGGGAGGCAGCAGUGGGGAAUAUUGCACAAUGGGCGCAAGCCUGAUGCAGCGACGCCGCGUGAGGGAUGACGGCCUUCGGGUUGUAAACCUCUUUCAGUAGGGAAGAAGAGAAAGUGACGGUACCUGCAGAAGAAGCACCGGCUAACUACGUGCCAGCAGCCGCGGUAAUACGUAGGGUGCGAGCGUUAUCCGGAAUUAUUGGGCGUAAAGAGCUCGUAGGCGGUUUGUCGCGUCUGUCGUGAAAGUCCGGGGCUUAACCCCGGAUCUGCGGUGGGUACGGGCAGACUAGAGUGCAGUAGGGGAGACUGGAAUUCCUGGUGUAGCGGUGGAAUGCGCAGAUAUCAGGAGGAACACCGAUGGCGAAGGCAGGUCUCUGGGCUGUAACUGACGCUGAGGAGCGAAAGCAUGGGGAGCGAACAGGAUUAGAUACCCUGGUAGUCCAUGCCGUAAACGUUGGGCACUAGGUGUGGGGACCAUUCCACGGUUUCCGCGCCGCAGAUAACGCAUAAGUGCCCCGCUUGGAAGUCCCCCU
RNAcentral lists this ribosomal RNA (874 nucleotides) under Micrococcus luteus. Its description in RNAcentral is "bacterial SSU rRNA". It matches the Rfam family "Bacterial small subunit ribosomal RNA", at positions 1 to 887 of the family's 1533-position model. The record is from RNAcentral. Lineage: Bacteria; Bacillati; Actinomycetota; Actinomycetes; Micrococcales; Micrococcaceae.